Papaver somniferum (opium poppy) is the source of this 1003-nucleotide long non-coding RNA. RefSeq lists it as uncharacterized. The record is from RefSeq and is a predicted model, not a curated record. Lineage: Eukaryota; Viridiplantae; Streptophyta; Magnoliopsida; Ranunculales; Papaveraceae. The transcript has 4 exons.
ACGUACGACUCAGACGGUCAAACCCAACUGCUCCCCUUUUAUUCAGCCAUCAUUUUCCCUAGAGUGAAUGCAGGGAAAACUGAAACAGAGACGAUUAUGUGAGAAAGGAUUUGUUCAUCUUUCCUGGGAUUGAAGUAGCUGCAAUCAUAAGGAUUUCUUCAUUCUUUAUUGGUUUUACAAAUUACAAACGUGGUUUUAGGUUUCAUGCACAUCUUUUCAAUUCCGUUAGGAUUAAUAUGAUGGAAAUUAGCAUGGGAACAUACCCAAAUGGGAAUUCGUUUGCAAGAUCCAGGAGGGCGAUGUGCUGGAAUUUUCGAGUCAAAAAACACAGUUACCACGCAUCAGGUUGUCAAUCGGCUACCUGAAAUUUGCUAAAGAAAACCAUGCCAGACGAAAGCUCUUUUUACAGGUCUUGGAGUCCACGAGUUUCACAAGGAUUUUUCCCUUUACCUCCAUGGUGUGCGUGAAUGAGUAAGUAUUUACCUUUUAUUGGUUACAUAAGGCUUCUCAUAAUCUGUAUUAUGAACGUUUCUUUCCCCAAUUUAGGUGGUCUCUAAUUUUUCUGAAAUCACAUGUACCUUUUGCAUACUUUCGUGAACUUUUCUGUAUUUUCUUUGCAAUAUCCUAUCAUUAAUCGGAUUGCCAAUAUAUGAUUGGGUCCGUUGACUAUCUACAUUUGAAGAAAGAAAAAACAUGGGUUCCUCCGGAAUAAUUAUUUGAUUUUUUAUUGCAACUAUUUUAGAAAUUGUUUUAGCAUCACACUAACCAGAUUUUUCCUUUUUUGUAUUAUCUCAAAAACAUUAGUGUCUGUUUAUCCAAGAUAACCCAAUGCUUCAGAGUCAGUCAUGGAUUACGUGUACAACAGUUGAGUGCUUUAGAUGCAAACUCAGUUUCAUGCAACUACCUCGCUUUCGGUUAAUGUUCAAAUGUAGUAUGUCAACAGUUCAGUGUGUAAAUCCUGCCAUUAUUAUAUGGUAUACAGUAGUUGAGUGCUUUAGCUGCA